AGGUUUCCAGCAUGUAACACUGCCUGGUCCUACCCUGGUUGCAUCAUUUCUGGUGUAGGGAAGGGGAAGGAGACUUCACUAACCACCAUUCCAGAAGAAAGUUGUCAGCAUUCCCAAAAUGUGUUUAUGAGCAUUAUUAGUAUUAACUUCAAUGAAUCACUAACCAGAACUGUGUGAGCAAAAGGGUGAGGCUUCAAGAGAUCCUGGCAGUCAGAUGAAUCAGAAGUUGGCUUCACAUGGGCUUUCUGCUUCCACAGACAUGAAAGAUACAGCAGUGCAAUUGUUCCUCCACAGUCCUUUGGACUAGUUUGAUUCUGUAUGCUGAAAACCCCUAAAUCAGGACUGAGUUCUGGCAGAUGCCCAAACAGAGGCAAACAGUACGGAAAAGUAAUACUCUGAAACUGCUUUAAAAUUAAUUCAAAGAUGAAUGACUAAGGACCUGAGCCAUGGGACUUAUGGCACAUAGUACAUUAAACAAGCAAGACCUGGGCCUGAAACCUGGAUAAUAUUUUAAAGUAUCCUGCUCCUGGAUCCUCAUGUGUCUGUUUUUUUUAUGUUCCUAACAGCCAAGUGGAUUUGUGGAUUUCUUUCAAAUGCUGACUGCUCACGACAGACUGAGUUGUAAAAGGACUUGCUGUAAAUCACAUCAGACCCUCUUGCCAUCAUCAGCUAUUUAAAUCUGAGGUACCUCUGGGAAAACUUUGUUUAAAUAGCCUGUAGCUUAUGGAAAACUGAGCUUUGCCAGUAGAAUGGGAGCCUGUCAUUUGAAGCAAAACAAGAGAAAAAAAAAAGAGAGAAAAAAAGAAAAAAGCCCAGCAGUGCUGAACAUUAUCUCCUCCUGUACUGAGACCAGACACAUCAAAGUUGACAUGCCUCCCCUCAAUGAUCGCCAUUUCCCAUACAUACUGUAUGAUAUGUCCAGCCAGAGGUGCACAGAGAACUGUAUGAGGAAGAUAUCUUUGGGCCAUAACCCUGGCAGGCCACUGCCCUCCAUGAUGAAAUCCUGUCUCGCAGACAGGACUAGAGCAGGGUCUCCUCAGGCAAGAUGGGUCUCCUCAGGCCACUUUGGGGACAGUGGUGAUAAAUUAGCCAUGAGGGAGACCUGGGAAGCUCCUGGGAAUCAGCACCAACGACUAGAGACCUCCUGAGGCGGGUGGCUGUUCACAUGCAGCUGCGGAGCUAGAAGUGAGGAGAAAAUGGAGACCUUCUCUCGGAAUGAAUCGGAAGGAUGUCCUGCUGCAGGAAUGGCUGGCCUGGCUGCAGCUCUGCACCCAUGCCACAAUGGGAAGCACCAGCAGUGGGAGGCACUGCCACUUGUAAUUCCCAAGCCAGCACAUCCAGCUCACUCUGAGCCCUGAGGAACCCUGUCACAUCCCUCUCAGGGACAAGCACAUGACUGAAAGCAAGGCGGGACUGCUCAGAUGGAAGUUUCCUUGUGUUCCUUCUCUAAGAAUGGAGACCAGUAUACAUCCUACAGGUUACUAAGCAGCCAUUGGAUUUAUACCACAGUGGGGACUGGAAUUUGUCCUCAGUGACCUAAGGGAGAGCAAAAAGCCCCAUUUCGUAACUGCAUCAAGCGAUCUUUUUCCUAUUUUUUUCCCAUUUUUUUGGCAGAUAAUAUGACAGAGUAUUUUCAUUCAAAAAGUUCAAAAUGUUUGUGCUCCUAUGGCAGGAAGGGUUUGAACAGCUCUAAUUACAAGAAGAAUCAUUCCAAAGCUUAUGGCUAGAGUGCAGGGAAAGGUUAUUGAAAACAAAUCCAUUUCUCAAACUGGAAUUUUGCAUAUUUAUAAUUGUGGAUUAACUCAAGAUACCGUAAUUGAAAUUAAUAUUGAAAAAUCAAUUGAAGAGAGUACAUAGAGCUCUACUGCUUUCAAACACUGCAGUUGAAAUAAAGAUCCACAU
Long non-coding RNA from Cygnus olor (mute swan), 1902 nucleotides. RefSeq lists it as uncharacterized. The transcript is spliced from 2 exons. Lineage: Eukaryota; Metazoa; Chordata; Aves; Anseriformes; Anatidae. The record is from RefSeq and is a predicted model, not a curated record.